AUGGGAGGAAUGGGUUUUCGAGACAUUGAAAUUUUCAACCUAUCUUUGUUGGUGUUUCAAGCAUGGAGGAUUAUGUAGGAGCCGAACUCGCUAAGUGCUCGCGUUCUAAAGGUAAGAUAUUAUCCUGAUUGUGAUCUACUUGUAGCACCAUUGGGCUCAAACCCAUCACAAGUGUGGCGAUCGAUCAGAGAAGGUUGUGAGGUCCUAUCGAUGGGCCUCAUAAAGAGGAUGGGGGACAGAGCGAGCACAAACAUAUUUGGUUGGGAAAUUGGCUGUCUGGAGAAUACAAACUAA
This 294-nucleotide ribosomal RNA is filed under the name Triticum aestivum (bread wheat). RNAcentral describes it as "partial small subunit ribosomal RNA". Lineage: Eukaryota; Viridiplantae; Streptophyta; Magnoliopsida; Poales; Poaceae. The record is from RNAcentral.